This 206-nucleotide long non-coding RNA is filed under the name Trifolium pratense (red clover). RNAcentral describes it as "long non-coding RNA (TPRA_LNC012706)". Lineage: Eukaryota; Viridiplantae; Streptophyta; Magnoliopsida; Fabales; Fabaceae. The record is from RNAcentral.
CUAUGGAGCUUUAAAAAAUUACGAUGUUAUCGUAAUUUUGUGAAACUUAUUGUUCAUUCAAACAUAAUGACAAGCUAGCCCUGAAAUUGUAUGUGUUUUUGUCUUUUUGGUUUUUUGUCCCAUUUAUUUGAUGUUACAAAAUUUGUGAUUUAAUUUUAUUCUUGUUCUUCAAGAAGUUAAUAAUAAGAUAUGCUUGUUUGUCUAUU